Megalobrama amblycephala (Wuchang bream) is the source of this 874-nucleotide long non-coding RNA. RefSeq lists it as uncharacterized. The transcript has 2 exons. The record is from RefSeq and is a predicted model, not a curated record. Lineage: Eukaryota; Metazoa; Chordata; Actinopteri; Cypriniformes; Xenocyprididae.
GAAAAAAUAGAAGGGGCAGAAGAGUGCCUCGCUGGUUCAAGUGUCUCUUACAAGUCUGGGUGUGUUCGGCAUGGUUGUGGCCGACAACAGCCCAAAUAAACACCCUUUUUUCACCUUCACCUACAUCCUUUUUUGCAAUCUGGUAAAGGAUAUAUUGGUCCUUUUACCACUGAAAUCACACUAACCUACAAGAAUGUCAUCACAAACAUAGGGAACGCCUACAACCCAAUUACAGGUGUUUUCACAGCCCCACUGAAAGGAGCGUACAUGUUCAGAGUCUCUAUAUAUGGCCAUGCCCCAAAUACAGCAACUGCCUCCAUUUAUAAGAAUGGAGAGAAGAUGGUUACAGCAUAUGUUUAUCAGCCUCAGAAUGAUUUAAACUCCUCGAACGGAGUUGUGUUGAUCCUGGAGGUUGGAGAUGUUGUCUAUGUGAGACUUUGGUCUGACAGGAGGAUAUAUGAUGACUGGAAUAACUACAACACUUUCAGUGGUUAUCUACUGUUUGCCUUAAGAGAACAAGAGCUUUGCAGAAUGUGAUUCCAAUAAUUCUUCAGUGUAUAAUUUAAGAUCAUUAAAUCAUUAAGAAUAAUUAACAUAUGAAUCUGUCUUAAUGAGGACUAAUGUGUGUUUGAAAUUUUCAGUAGAUUACUGUAUAAAGUCAGUAUAAUACACUAUAUUCAUGAGUUCUGAUCUGUCUGUACAUGUAAGUUUGUAUAAAGAGUUUCAGCACUGAGACAGACAGGACCCAUGAAUAUCACAUGUGACUCAAAAGUGUUUUGUUAAAGUAGUAAAUCUAAUAAUUUUAAAUAAUACCUUUUUAAGUGUAUCUUGUUACUGAUCCUUGAUCUGUAUCUCUUCAUCCUACAUAAAUAAA